RNAcentral lists this ribosomal RNA (206 nucleotides) under uncultured bacterium. Its description in RNAcentral is "partial 16S ribosomal RNA". It matches the Rfam family "Bacterial small subunit ribosomal RNA", at positions 568 to 774 of the family's 1533-position model. The record is from RNAcentral.
UGUGUAGGCGGACUUCUAAGUACCUUGUGAAAUCCCACGGCUUAACUGUGGAACUGCUUGGUAUACUGGUUGUCUUGAGCCACUCAGGGGCGAGCGGAACAAAUGGUGGAGCGGUGAAAUGCGUAGAUAUCAUUUGGAACGCCAACGGUGAAACAGCUCGCUGGGGGUGUGCUGACGCUGAGACACGAAAGCCAGGGGAGCGAACG